GAUGAACGCUGGCGGCGUGCCUAAUACAUGCAAGUCGAGCGAACGGACGAGAAGCUUGCUUCUCUGAUGUUAGCGGCGGACGGGUGAGUAACACGUGGAUAACCUACCUAUAAGACUGGGAUAACUUCGGGAAACCGGAGCUAAUACCGGAUGAUAUUUUGAACCGCAUGGUUCAAAAGUGAAAGACGGUCUUGCUGUCACUUAUAGAUGGAUCCGCGCUGCAUUAGCUAGUUGGUAAGGUAACGGCUUACCAAGGCAACGAUGCAUAGCCGACCUGAGAGGGUGAUCGGCCACACUGGGACUGAGACACGGUCCAGACUCCUCCGGGAGGCAGCAGUAGGGAAUCUUCCGCAAUGGGCGAAAGCCUGACGGAGCAACGCCGCGUGAGUGAUGAAGGUCUUCGGAUCGUAAAACUCUGUUAUUAGGGAAGAACAUAUGUGUAAGUAACUGUGCACAUCUUGACGGUACCUAAUCAGAAAGCCACGGCUAACUACGUG
RNAcentral lists this ribosomal RNA (497 nucleotides) under uncultured bacterium. RNAcentral's name for it is "partial 16S ribosomal RNA". It matches the Rfam family "Bacterial small subunit ribosomal RNA", at positions 28 to 507 of the family's 1533-position model. The record is from RNAcentral.